CCCCAAACAUGUUGUGGGACAUUACAAAGCUCACAUCCUCUGUGCCCAUGACUCUUCGUGAUUCCAGCAACCGUGGCCGAGGGGCCAGGCUCGCGGGCACCGUGAUGCGAGAGGAAGGACGAAAGAGGAUAAGUGAGGAAGAUGAGAACCGGGCAAGCCCUCUUACACUCUGCUUGUUCCACUUAGCUCACUGAUGGUAACUGCCCAAACACUACUCUAUGAGGACUCAAGGACACUCUCUUCCCAAAGCAAGUUUUUGGCUUUUUAAAGGUGAUUUCCAGUA
Non-coding RNA from Odocoileus virginianus texanus, 283 nucleotides. NCBI's taxonomy places the organism in Eukaryota, Metazoa, Chordata, Mammalia, Artiodactyla, Cervidae. The record is from RefSeq and is a predicted model, not a curated record.